This 522-nucleotide long non-coding RNA is filed under the name Dromaius novaehollandiae (emu). Its description in RNAcentral is "lncRNA (ENSDNVG00000014449.1)". The record is from RNAcentral. Lineage: Eukaryota; Metazoa; Chordata; Aves; Casuariiformes; Dromaiidae.
GGAGAAUAGAACUCACCUCUUGGCUUUAUGCAAGCAAAAAAAUUCACCUUCUUCUGAGCUUCUCGCACAUCCUUUUGUGUAUACAGUAGUGUUAUUCCUUAAUGGAUGCUAUCAUUAUGUUUCUCUUUUAAUGUUUUCCAGGUGGGAAAAGAAUGUGAACAAGGUUCUUCAGGAAGGUUUCUUCUCAGCUAGAAAAGGAGAACAGGCAUUUCUUAAGGAGGACUGCAGCCCAUGGGACUUGGACUUCAAACAACAAAUGUGCAGAGCUCACAUGAACUUGAAGCUGCCCUUUUAUUUGUGACAUCCAUAAACAUUUAUGAUGCUUGGUUUUCAUCCCAAUCUGCUUCUGAAAGUAAGAUGAGGUCUCCUCAGGAUGAGGUCUCAGCAUUUUGAGUUGAAUUCCUGAGAUCACAGGAAAAGGCUUUGGCUUUGUUUCUGACAUAGGUAGGUUAUGAGAUGCUGGCUGGUCUCUGUUUUUGACAGUGUGAAAACUUUAAUGUUUUUGGCUGAAAUGUUUUAUUU